GAUGAACGCUAGCGGCAGGCCUAACACAUGCAAGUCGAGGGGCAGCACAGAAACAGCAAUGUUUUGGUGGCGACCGGCGGACGGGUGCGUAACGCGUAUGCAACCUACCUUUAACAGGGGGAUAACGGAGAGAAAUUUCCACUAAUACCCCAUAACAUCGAUCAAGGCAUCUUGAUUGGUUGAAAACUCCGGUGGUUAAAGAUGGGCAUGCGUUGUAUUAGGUAGUUGGUGAGGUAAUGGCUCACCAAGCCUACGAUACAUAGGGGGACUGAGAGGUUAGCCCCCCACACUGGUACUGAGACACGGACCAGACUCCAACGGGAGGCAGCAGUGAGGAAUAUUGGUCAAUGGGGGCAACCCUGAACCAGCCAUGCCGCGUGCAGGAAGACGGCGCUAUGAGUUGUAAACUGCUUUUAAACAGGGAUAAAGCACAGUAUGUAUACUGUGUUGAAGGUACUGUAAGAAUAAGGAUCGGCUAACUCCGUGCCAGCCGCCGCAGUAA
This 502-nucleotide ribosomal RNA is filed under the name uncultured bacterium. RNAcentral describes it as "partial 16S ribosomal RNA". It matches the Rfam family "Bacterial small subunit ribosomal RNA", at positions 28 to 523 of the family's 1533-position model. The record is from RNAcentral.